RNAcentral lists this ribosomal RNA (894 nucleotides) under Colletotrichum fioriniae. RNAcentral's name for it is "LSU rRNA". It matches the Rfam family "Eukaryotic large subunit ribosomal RNA", at positions 38 to 962 of the family's 3401-position model. Lineage: Eukaryota; Fungi; Ascomycota; Sordariomycetes; Glomerellales; Glomerellaceae. The record is from RNAcentral.
GCAUAUCAAUAAGCGGAGGAAAAGAAACCAACAGGGAUUGCCCCAGUAACGGCGAAGUGAAGCGGCAACAGCUCAAAUUUGAAAUCUGGCCCCAGGCCCGAGUUGUAAUUUGCAGAGGAUGCUUUUGGCGCGGUGCCUUCCGAGUUCCCUGGAACGGGACGCCAUAGAGGGUGAGAGCCCCGUACGGUUGGACACCAAGCCUUUGUAAAGCUCCUUCGACGAGUCGAGUAGUUUGGGAAUGCUGCUCUAAAUGGGAGGUACAUUUCUUCUAAAGCUAAAUAUUGGCCAGAGACCGAUAGCGCACAAGUAGAGUGAUCGAAAGAUGAAAAGCACUUUGAAAAGAGGGUUAAACAGCACGUGAAAUUGUUAAAAGGGAAGCGCUUGUGACCAGACUUGCGUCCGGUGAAUCACCCAGCUCUCGCGGCUGGGGCACUUCGCCGGCACAGGCCAGCAUCAGCUUGCCGUCGGGGACAAAAGCUUCAGGAACGUAGCUCCUCUCGGGGAGUGUUAUAGCCUGUUGUAUAAUACCCUUCGGCGGGCUGAGGUACGCGCUCCGCAAGGAUGCUGGCGUAAUGGUCAUCAGCGACCCGUCUUGAAACACGGACCAAGGAGUCAACCUUAUGUGCGAGUGUUUGGGUGUUAAACCCCUACGCGUAAUGAAAGUGAACGCAGGUGAGAGCUUCGGCGCAUCAUCGACCGAUCCUGAUGUUCUCGGAUGGAUUUGAGUAAGAGCAUAUAGGGUUGGACCCGAAAGAAGGUGAACUAUGCGUGUGUAGGGUGAAGCCAGAGGAAACUCUGGUGGAGGCUCGCAGCGGUUCUGACGUGCAAAUCGAUCGUCAAACAUGCGCAUGGGGGCGAAAGACUAAUCGAACCUUCUAGUAGCUGGUUUCCGCG